This 304-nucleotide long non-coding RNA is filed under the name Pan troglodytes (chimpanzee). RNAcentral's name for it is "long non-coding RNA NONPTRT014210". Lineage: Eukaryota; Metazoa; Chordata; Mammalia; Primates; Hominidae. The record is from RNAcentral.
UGAAAGAGCAGGAUGAAGGGAGGAAGAUAUAGCCAGCCAGAGAAGGGAGAAGAGGAGAAACAUCUGGAAAAUAUCAGUGUUGCAGAGCCUCCCGGAAACUGACCUCGCCACCGAAAGGGUGAAUGGGGUCAACAUGGAAACAGCAUGAGAGGGGCCACAGAAGGGAUUCACCAGGAAGAAGAGGAAAGGCGGGGCUGAGGUGGCCAGGACAGCACGACAUCACAUCUGACCAAGGCAUCCUCAGCCUUCCUUCAGAAAAGCAGCAGAAAGAAAAAGGGAUCAAAAAUCACAGUGUGGAACUCAG